This 373-nucleotide unclassified non-coding RNA is filed under the name Hevea brasiliensis (rubber tree). Lineage: Eukaryota; Viridiplantae; Streptophyta; Magnoliopsida; Malpighiales; Euphorbiaceae. The record is from RNAcentral.
UUCAGCCCCCACACUAUUUUGAAGCCAGCACCGUCGUUAUAGUUCACCAUUGCCGUUUCUCCCUCGCUGUCGCCGAUUCCGUCGUUUUUGUUCACUUCUUUGAUGACAUCACCGUCUUUGUUUAGUUUUAACUGAAGGAGCUAUAUAGUUGCCCACCUUUCUCCCUCGCUUCCUAUUUAGAAAAUCGUUUCCUUUUAGAAUUUCAGCGCCUUGAAGGAAUUCAAUAAUUUUCCCAAGUCAAAUGCCUAUAAACUGAGGUUUAGCUUAUAGAAACUUCAUUUGUGGCAAAACUUUUGAGAUUAUGCAGUUUCUAGUUGUUAACUCGCGUGAGCGCAAUCUGGAUAUUGAUGGGUAUUUGCGCUUAUUCAAAAAC